UUACAUUGUGGUUGUCACACAGAUUUAAUUGAAAAGUUAUCUAUAAACACAGGUUAUUUUGCAAAAGUUAAGAGACUUAUCGUUCCAAACAAAAUUAGCAAUCAGAUCCCUUAUUGUGCAUUCACCAUUUUUUUAAUCAUAAAUAGAGAAAAGAGAUUGCCUCAUAAAACAAGGCGACAACAAAAGCAAGAAAAAAGGGA
This 200-nucleotide long non-coding RNA is filed under the name Linum usitatissimum (flax). Its description in RNAcentral is "long non-coding RNA (LUSI_LNC005875)". Lineage: Eukaryota; Viridiplantae; Streptophyta; Magnoliopsida; Malpighiales; Linaceae. The record is from RNAcentral.